GGAGCAUGUGGCUUAAUUUGACUCAACGCGGGAAAUCUUACCAGGUCAGGACACAUUGAGGAUUGACAGACAGUUAACAGAUUGAAGCUGUUUUUAAACCUAACAGCUCUUUCAUGAUUAUGUGAUAGGUGGUGCAUGGCCGUUCUUAGUUCGUGGAGUGAUCUGUCUGCUUAAUUGCGUUUCAAAACUAACACACAGAGAGCUUAGGGGCACCGUUUGUUGAGUCCCUUUUACUAUACUCAAUGUCAAAACUCCUCAAUGAUCAUUACGUGAGGGGAGUGGAGAUACAUUCGGAUGCAAUAUCUUUGCUCUCUUUUGAACGCAACGGACGUGAUUGCGACCCCUUGUUGAGUCCCUUAACAAUACUCUAUAUUUGCGCGGCCUAAUGAUCUUAUGUGAAGGUCGCGCAGAUAAACUCGGGGGACCGCUGUACUCAUUCUUCUUUAAACCAGAGGAAGAUUGCGGCAAUAACAGGUCUGUGAUGCCCUCAGAUGUCCUGGGCUGCACACGUGCUACAUUGACCAGCACAGUGAGCAACUUUCAAUUUGAAACAUCGGUUUAAUAAUCUGUCACUCGUUGGCGGAUGGUUACCGAUAGCGCCUGGUCUUUAACAGACUAGGUAAUCUUUUGAAGUGCUGCUAAGAUUUUCUGAAUUGAGCUUAUCAAAACACGCGCUGAUUUCACUACAAACAGUCCACUGCCAGUUCCAAAUUGCACCGCGGCUGGUGGAACUUUAGCGUAUGCAACAUGUUAAUUCUUCGUGGGGAUAGACGCUUGAAACUUUCCGUCUCGUCCUUAACUGGGAAUGCCUUGUACGGGUCAUGGUUCAACAUACCACCCGGAAUACGUCCCUGCCCUUUGUACACACCGCCCGUCGCUCUUACCGAUGAACUUUACUGUGAGUUUGAAGGACUACUCACACUGUGAUCGGAAAUUCAGUCAAACAGAGCCGCUAAAGAAAGAG
This 964-nucleotide ribosomal RNA is filed under the name Sphaeroidinella dehiscens. Its description in RNAcentral is "bacterial SSU rRNA". It matches the Rfam family "Eukaryotic small subunit ribosomal RNA", at positions 1178 to 1785 of the family's 1831-position model. Lineage: Eukaryota; Foraminifera; Rotaliida; Globigerinidae. The record is from RNAcentral.